UAAUACGAAGGGGGCUAGCGUUGCUCGGAAUCACUGGGCGUAAAGCGCACGUAGGCGGAUCUUUAAGUCAGGGGUGAAAUCCUGGAGCUCAACUCCAGAACUGCCUUUGAUACUGGGGAUCUCGAGUCCGGAAGAGGUGAGUGGAACUCCGAGUGUAGAGGUGAAAUUCGUAGAUAUUCGGAAGAACACCAGUGGCGAAGG
RNAcentral lists this ribosomal RNA (201 nucleotides) under uncultured bacterium. Its description in RNAcentral is "partial 16S ribosomal RNA". It matches the Rfam family "Bacterial small subunit ribosomal RNA", at positions 521 to 721 of the family's 1533-position model. The record is from RNAcentral.